AAGAGCGUUUGGUGUAUGGGGAAUCUCCUCCGGGUGGAGUGAUAGGGAGCUCUGUCUGGUGUCAGCAUCCUGUGAUUCUCUCCCCAGCAGAGUCUGCCUCCUUUGGUCAGCAGAGGGAAGCAGUGAAACAGAACUUUCUGAAGCCCAGGGCUGGGUUCACCCUGCUUUGUAUGUUCAGAGCCUCUGCAGAGUUCUAGGCAAAUGGGGAAACGGACUCAGACAUGAAGUCACUUGCCUGUGGCCAUGGAGCUGGUGAAUGGUAUACCUGGUGGAUUAUCUACUGUUAUCACCAGGGAAGGCCUGCUCUUCUCUUUCCGAAUCUAUCUCCAAUCUUAUUUUCCAUCCAAAGCUGGGACAGGAAACAGAAGCUUGAGGCUAGAAUCUGGUACACUGGAAUGGACAGGACUGGACUGCUGACCUCUGCUGCUAGUCUUACAUCCAAGUGAUCCCCAAUGGCCAUUGCCCUAGGAUAAGUCUCCACCCUCUCUUGUCAGCCCUCCUCACUGCUCUCCUACCCUCCAAGUCUUUCCACAUCCCCAUAUUAAUCUCCACGUUAGCUAGAGUGACUAAUGCCUCAGGUCCCUUUAUGGCCUUCAGUCCUCCCCACGGGCUCUGGGUCAAGCUCCAGGUCUUCAGCCUGGCGUAAAAGGCUGGGCAUGCUCUGGUUUGGCCUGCCUCUCCAGCCUCUCCUCU
This is a long non-coding RNA of Bos taurus (domestic cattle), 693 nucleotides long. Lineage: Eukaryota; Metazoa; Chordata; Mammalia; Artiodactyla; Bovidae. The record is from Ensembl.